GACGCCGCGUGUGUGACGAAGGUCUUCGGAUCGUAAAGCACUGUCAGGUGGGAAGAAGACAUGCGUAUAAAUUACGCGUGUGUUGACGGUACCGCCGAAGGAAGCACCGGCUAACUCCGUGCCAGCAACUUCGGUGACUGAGCGGGCUGGCAAGGCGCAUA
This 161-nucleotide ribosomal RNA is filed under the name uncultured bacterium. RNAcentral describes it as "partial 16S ribosomal RNA". It matches the Rfam family "Bacterial small subunit ribosomal RNA", at positions 393 to 539 of the family's 1533-position model. The record is from RNAcentral.